This 528-nucleotide ribosomal RNA is filed under the name uncultured bacterium. RNAcentral's name for it is "partial 16S ribosomal RNA". The record is from RNAcentral.
GUAGUUAGCCGGGGCUUCCUCCUUGGCUACCGUCACUUUCUUCGUCACCAAGGACAGAGGUUUACAACCCGAAAGCCUUCUUCCCUCACGCGGCGUUGCUGGGUCAGGCUUGCGCCCAUUGCCCAAUAUUCCCCACUGCUGCCUCCCGUAGGAGUCUGGACCGUGUCUCAGUUCCAGUGUGGCCGUUCAGCCUCUCAGCUCGGCUACCCAUCGUCGACUUGGUGGGCCGUUACCCCGCCAACUAUCUAAUGGGACGCGAACUCACCCCAAACCGGAUUGCUCCUUUUACCUCAAAGUCAUGUGACCUCGUGGUCUUAUGCGGUAUUAGCACCUGUUUCCAAGUGUUAUCCCCCUGUCUGGGACAGAUUGUUCACGCGUUACUCACCCGUCCGCCGCUAAGGUAUUGUCAACACUCAUUACUGGUUUAUUUCCUCUCUCCCCAGUAAUCAGUGCCAACAAUGCCUCCGCUCGACUUGCAUGUGUUAAGCACGCCGCCAGCGUUCGUCCUGAGCCAGAAUCGAACCCUGA